RNAcentral lists this unclassified non-coding RNA (251 nucleotides) under uncultured fungus. Its description in RNAcentral is "partial contains 5.8S ribosomal RNA, internal transcribed spacer 2, and large subunit ribosomal RNA". Lineage: Eukaryota; Fungi. The record is from RNAcentral.
AACGCACAUUGCGCCCCUUGGUAUUCCAUGGGGCAUGCCUGUUCGAGCGUCAUUUGUACCCUCAAGCUCUGCUUGGUGUUGGGUGUUUGUCCCGCUAUUGCGCGUGGACUCGCCUUAAAGCAAUUGGCAGCCGGCAUAUUGGCCUGGAGCGCAGCACAAUUUGCACUUCUUGCCUUUUGAAUGUCGAGCAUCCAGAAGCAACUCUUUUUGCUUUUGACCUCGGAUCAGGUAGGGAUACCCGCUGAACUUAA